Paramormyrops kingsleyae is the source of this 1398-nucleotide long non-coding RNA. RefSeq lists it as uncharacterized. NCBI's taxonomy places the organism in Eukaryota, Metazoa, Chordata, Actinopteri, Osteoglossiformes, Mormyridae. The record is from RefSeq and is a predicted model, not a curated record.
CUGUGCAGGGGACCACACUGGGACGGGGGUGCCAGGAGACGCGGGGCAUGAUGAAGGGCUUCUCCCCGUGGCGUGGCCUCCCCCUUCUGCUGCUGCUGCACGCUGCGGCUGACGAGAUGAAUUCUUCACUGCCAGCAGCUUCCACCCUGAGCACAAAGAGCACCAUUUUGACGACCAACAUCACCGCCCCCCUCCAGUGGAACAGCAGCUCUGCUGUCGUGUCUGAGGACACCAUCUCCUCUGCUAUGCCAAGAACCCUCACAAACAGCAUGGGCCCCACCAGCACAGGAACCCCCAGCACACCCAGUGUAACGCAGAACCCCACAGACAGAACCACCACCAGCUGGGCUACAGAACCAAGUACCCAUGUAAUGUCUCAAGCUGCCUUGGGGGGAGGUACUUGCAUCCUGGUCUCCAGAAGCCUUCUUCUGGGCCUUAUACUCUGCAUCUUGCUGACUAAUAUGAAGCACUAGGGGUGACCCCUCAUGCCACCAUCAAUACUGCCCUGCCAGCUGUGGACCAGCCCUGCUCCUGAGCCUCUGAGCUGUGCUGAAGGCAUCCCUCACAUGCUCCUGAGCCUCUAAGCUGCGCUGAAGGCAUCCCUCACCUGCUCCUGAGCCUCUGAGCUGCGCUGAAGGCAUGCCUUCCCUGCUCCUGAGCCUCUGAGCUGCGCUGAAGGCAUCCCUUACCUGCUCCUGAGCCUCUGAGCUGUGUUGAUGGCAUCCCUCACCUGCUCCUGAGCCUCUGAGCUGUGCUGAAGGCAUCCCUCACCUGCUCCUGAGCCUCUGAGCUGUGCUGAUGGCAUCCCUUACCUGCUCCUGAGCCUCUGAGCUGUGCUGAUGGCAUCCCUCACCUGCUCCUGAGCCUCUGAGCUGCGCUGAAGGCAUCCCUUACCUCCUCUCAGCACCUCACUUCUUUAAAGUUGCUGGUUUCGUGGUGAUUUAUCACCCCAACCCCACCUUAAUGUCAGCAGUCCUCAUUUCCGCUUAUUGUUAGUGCAUGUUCUUACACUUUUGUCGAGUCCCUCAUUGUUCAGUGCCAGUGGCUGAUCAUGCAGCUGGCAGUGUGCUGACCGUCCUGCGGUUUGUGUGGCAAUGUGGUGGUGACACGUGGCCCCGCUUUCAUUGUCAGCUGUCCUGUGCAUCCUCUGGUAAUUUGGAGCUUGUGGUUAUGGUUUGACUUAAUUUAGCUUCCAUUCGCUUCUGGAACGACGAUGUUUGCAGGGGCAGGAGUAGGACACAGAGCACCAAGAUGGCGUCCAUGUCCAUGAUCUGUGACGGAAACACGAAAGGUCUCCAUAAUAUAAACACUCACAACUGUGAUAAACUAUGAGAUACAUGCAUUUUCUGGCUGUAAAAUGUAAAAAAAAAAUGUUAAAUAAACCAUAUGAAAAUCUAA